Molecule: ribosomal RNA, 260 nt
Filed under: uncultured bacterium
Lineage: Bacteria
Description: partial 16S ribosomal RNA
Rfam family: Bacterial small subunit ribosomal RNA
Source: RNAcentral
AGUGGCGGACGGGUGAGUAACGCGUGAGCAACCUGCCCUUCGGAGGGGGAUAGUGUCUGGAAACGGACAGUAAUACCGCAUAACGUAUUUUUACCGCAUGAUAGAAAUACCAAAACUGAGGUGCCGAAGGAUGGGCUCGCGUUGGAUUAGAUAGUUGGUGGGGUAACGGCCUACCAAGUCGACGAUCCAUAGCCGGACUGAGAGGUUGAACGGCCACAUUGGGACUGAGACACGGCCCAGACUCCUACGGGAGGCAGCAG